This 372-nucleotide ribosomal RNA is filed under the name uncultured organism. RNAcentral describes it as "bacterial SSU rRNA". It matches the Rfam family "Bacterial small subunit ribosomal RNA", at positions 526 to 896 of the family's 1533-position model. The record is from RNAcentral.
CAGAGGGUGCGAGCGUUGUCCGGAAUCACUGGGCGUAAAGGGCGCGUAGGUGGCGGGCCAAGUCCAUGGUGAAAGCUCGAUGCUCAACAUCGAGUCGGCCACGGAUACUGGGUCGCUCGAGCACUGUAGAGGCUAAUGGAAUUCCGGGUGUAGCGGUGGAAUGCGUAGAGAUCCGGAAGAACACCGGUGGCGAAGGCGGUUAGCUGGGCAGUUGCCGACACUGAGGCGCGACAGCGUGGGGAGCAAACAGGAUUAGAUACCCUGGUAGUCCACGCCGUAAACGAUGGGCACUAGAUGCUUGGGGGAGCGACCCCCUGAGUGUCGUCGCUAACGCAGUAAGUGCCCCGCCUGGGGAGUACGGCCGCAAGGCUG